Molecule: unclassified non-coding RNA, 148 nt
Organism: Pongo abelii (Sumatran orangutan)
Lineage: Eukaryota; Metazoa; Chordata; Mammalia; Primates; Hominidae
Rfam family: Metazoan signal recognition particle RNA
About the family: The signal recognition particle (SRP) is a universally conserved ribonucleoprotein.
Source: Ensembl
GCCAGGCAUGGUGGCGCAUGUCUGUAUUCCCAACUACUUGGGAGGCUGAGACAGGAGGAUUACUUGAGCCCAGGAGGUUGAGACUCCAGUGAGAUGUGAUCCUGCCACUAUAGUCCAGCCUGGGUGACAGAGUGAGAGCCUGUCUCUU